AGGUCCCCAAUGAGUACGUGGGUAAGUCUGGUGUCCACCUGAAGCGUGACUUCUUUCCUGACGCACGGAUCUCAGGCUCGCUCCGAGCUCUUCAUCAACCUGCGCGAGGUGAGCUCUCGCUUCCGCCUGCCCCCGGGCGAGUACAUCGUGGUCCCCUCCACCUACGAACCCAACCGCGAGGGCGACUUCUGCCUGCGCGUCUUCGCCGAGAAGCCGGCGCACACCGAGGAACUGGACGAUGAAAUCUGCGCCGAGCUGCCGGAGGAGGAGAUGAUUCCCGAGCAUGAAAUCGAUGAGAAGUUCAAGAAUCUAUUCCGACAGCUCGCAGGGCCGGAUCUGCAGAUUUCCAUGUCGGACUUCAGACCAUCCUGAACCGUGUAGAGGGGAAACAUCAGGAUCUGAAGACGUCUGGUUUCAGUAUGGAUGCUUGUCGCUGUAUGAUCAACCUCAUGGAUCGAGACGGCGAUGCCCGGCUGGGCCUGACUGAGUUCAAUGUCUUGUGGAACAAAAUCCGCAAAUGGCUGGUGAUUUUCCGUCAGUUUGACCUGGACAAGUCGGGCAGCAUGAACGCCUAUGAGAUGAGGCUGGCGCUGGAGUCUGCAGGUUUCAAGUUGAACAACCAGCUCCACAACCUGCUCAUCACCCGCUACUCCGAGCCCGACCUCUCGAUCAACUUUGACAACUUCAUCUGCUGCAUCAUCCGCCUGGAGACCAUGUACCGUGAG
Leucoraja erinaceus (little skate) is the source of this 725-nucleotide long non-coding RNA. RefSeq lists it as uncharacterized. The transcript has 9 exons. The record is from RefSeq and is a predicted model, not a curated record. NCBI's taxonomy places the organism in Eukaryota, Metazoa, Chordata, Chondrichthyes, Rajiformes, Rajidae.